Molecule: ribosomal RNA, 493 nt
Filed under: uncultured bacterium
Lineage: Bacteria
Description: partial 16S ribosomal RNA
Rfam family: Bacterial small subunit ribosomal RNA
Source: RNAcentral
AUUGAACGCUGGCGGCAUGCCUUACACAUGCAAGUCGAACGGUAACAGGUUAAGCUGACGAGCGGCGAACGGGUGAGUAAUGUAUCGGAACGUGCCCAGUCGUGGGGGAUAACGUAGCGAAAGCUACGCUAAUACCGCAUACGAUCUACGGAUGAAAGCGGGGGAUCGCAAGACCUCGCGCGAUUGGAGCAGCCGAGAUCAGAUUCGGUUUGUGGUGAGGUAAAAGCUCACCAAGCCUGCGAUCUGUAGCUGGUCUGAGAGGACGACUAGCCACACUGGAACUGAGACACGGUCCAGACUCCUACGGGAGGCAGCAGUGGGGAAUUUUGGACAAUGGACGCAAGUCUGAUCCAGCAAUGCCGCGUGCAGGACGAAGGCCUUCGGGUUGUAAACUGCUUUUGUACGGAACGAAACGGUGAGCUCUAAUACAGUUUGCUAAUGACGGUACCGUAAGAAUAAGCACCGGCUAACUACGUGCCAGCCGCCGCGGUAA